GCAACCCGGGUACGGGAGAAGCAAAAGACAGUCCCGGCGGGACGGGAGUCCCAUCGCGCGAAGAAGCCCCAGAGGACUGCGGGGCUGGGACGUGGCGCCGGCGCGGCAAAGGGAGCGGAAGGGGCAGAGCCUUACCUGUCCAGAUGAUCAGCCCAGAAUCAGAUAACCUCUCCUGAGGGCCCAGAUGACUUUGAACCCUGUUACAAGUAAUUCAAAGGGCUUAGAGCCUAUUUCUUCCAAACAGCCUGGGCAGCCCUUGCAGGCCCAAGAAAAAGAGGAAAUGGACAAGUGCUUGCUGGGGAAGUCUCUCCCCUCUGGGCCAGCCUUUGCACAACUUCUGCCUCAGGAAUUCACCUCCAGGAAAGAAGGCUUAGCCAAGGCCUCAGCCACUGAACCUAAGAAGGGUAAAAGAAAAGCAUACUUGG
Molecule: long non-coding RNA, 425 nt
Organism: Lemur catta (Ring-tailed lemur)
Lineage: Eukaryota; Metazoa; Chordata; Mammalia; Primates; Lemuridae
Exons: 3
Source: RefSeq, a predicted model, not a curated record